This 469-nucleotide ribosomal RNA is filed under the name uncultured bacterium. RNAcentral's name for it is "SSU rRNA". It matches the Rfam family "Bacterial small subunit ribosomal RNA", at positions 26 to 518 of the family's 1533-position model. The record is from RNAcentral.
AGAACGAACGCUGGCGGCAUGCCUAACACAUGCAAGUCGAACGAGACCUUCGGGUCUAGUGGCGCACGGGUGCGUAACGCGUGGGAAUCUGCCCUUCGGUUCGGAAUAACAGUUAGAAAUGACUGCUAAUACCGGAUAAUGACGUAAGUCCAAAGAUUUAUCGCCGAAGGAUGAGCCCGCGUAAGAUUAGCUAGUUGGUGAGGUAAAGGCUCACCAAGGCUACGAUCUUUAGCUGGUCUGAGAGGAUGAUCAGCCACACUGGGACUGAGACACGGCCCAGACUCCUACGGGAGGCAGCAGUGGGGAAUUUUGGACAAUGGGCGCAAGCCUGAUCCAGCCAUGCCGCGUGCAGGAUGAAGGCCUUCGGGUUGUAAACUGCUUUGUACGGAACGAAAGGUUCUUUCUAAUAAAGAGAGCUCAUGACGGUACCGUAAGAAUAAGCACCGGCUAACUACGUGCCAGCAGCCGC